AGCCAUUUUAUUAAUAAUUAAUAAAAAAUAACAAAAAGUUGUCUAUCCCAAUGACAAAAAGCAAGCAAAGCUUGAAAAAUAUUGCAGGUCAAUCCCAAUUUCCUAUUUGACCUAGCUAAAAUUUUUUUAAGGACUUUAAAUUAUUACCGUUUCCAUCUUUGGGCGCCUCUCCUCCUUUGUCAUGCUUUGAAUCUACUGCCUUCUCAAUUCCAAGCUGAUUCAAAUCCUAUUGUAGAUGAUCAAUAUUGUUCCAUCCUUGUGUUAUGUCUUUCUUUCAUAAAAACUGUUGUCAAAAAACUACGGUAAUAUUUGUAGAGAUUUAUCUUUAACCCUAUCCAUUUUUCAAACUCUAUCAAGUUUCAGGUGGUUGGGUUGACUCUGUGGUGAAGGAAAAGGAGGAAACUUCCAAGACAUGCAUUGAAAAUGAUUGAUCCAUUGCAGAUAUAGGCUUAUGGAUGACCUCCUAAGCUUAUGGACAGAUAUAACACAUUUCUUCUUUGCUUUUGGUGAUAGUUUCUGUGAGAUAACAUAGAUUAGCCUAUUAGAUUAAGUAGCACUGUUGUUCCUUGUAUAAGAAUUUUGUUCACUGCAAAUUCUUUUUCUUCUUAGAAUUAUUAUUUUGC
Long non-coding RNA from Capsicum annuum, 623 nucleotides. RefSeq lists it as uncharacterized. The transcript is spliced from 2 exons. NCBI's taxonomy places the organism in Eukaryota, Viridiplantae, Streptophyta, Magnoliopsida, Solanales, Solanaceae. The record is from RefSeq and is a predicted model, not a curated record.